UCCUUUGUGAGAUGCCACUAUCGGGGGAAACCGGAUGGCUCCACAGAAAAAGUUCGUUUAAAGGAAAAUGGUUUAAGGCCAAGGAAAUACCUAGAAAACGGAAAGUCUUGAAACCAGAGCCGGAAAAACAAUGCCUGUGUUUUGAAGUUCCUUCUUGGGACGAAACCAGCUGAAGCUGGCGAAAUCCAAGAUGGCGCCUCUGACGAGCCUCUGGCUUUAUUAUCAUCCAGUUCUCAUGCUAAACAACACUCCCACCAGCGCCGUGACAAUUGACAGUCGCCAUGACAACGACUGGAAGAGACCAAGAAGGGACAGAAAAAAAGGGGUUCCUUGAUUCCGGGAAAAAUCUCCGUUCUUUCCCAAGAAAAGCAUGAAUAUUCCCCCCCGUGCUCUUAAUGCCCAGCCCCUUCAUUAAAGACACCCUACCUCUGUAA
RNAcentral lists this non-coding RNA (434 nucleotides) under Pan troglodytes (chimpanzee). Lineage: Eukaryota; Metazoa; Chordata; Mammalia; Primates; Hominidae. The record is from RNAcentral.